Homo sapiens (human) is the source of this 285-nucleotide long non-coding RNA. Lineage: Eukaryota; Metazoa; Chordata; Mammalia; Primates; Hominidae. The record is from Ensembl.
AGAGGACCCGGAGCAUUAUCUGAAUGAACUAAUGACCAACAGGCGGGCAGAAAUGAGUGCUGCGGAUUGAUAACAGGGACAGCCAGACCCCCUCCCAUCCCCACGAGGCAGAGGCACCAGGCCACCUGGCUUUCCCACACAUCAACCUCGUGCUCACACCCCACUCUGGAGACCACCAGCUUCGAGGCAAAAAGAGAGAACGACGUACAAUGGGGUAAAGCCUCCAUGUGUAGGCGAUGUUGUGAGGAAAGGGUGGCCGGUUGGAAGGGAACAUUUUUAAAUUGA